UACGUAGGUGGCAAGCGUUGUCCGGAUUUACUGGGUGUAAAGGGCGCGUAGGCGGGUCUGUAAGUCAGAUGUGAAAUACCAGGGCUUAACCCUGGGGCUGCAUUUGAAACUGCAGGUCUUGAGUGAUGGAGAGGCAGGCGGAAUUCCUAGUGUAGCGGUGAAAUGCGUAGAUAUUAGGAGGAACACCAGUGGCGAAGGCGGCCUGCUGGACAUUAACUGACGCUGAGGCGCGAAAGCGUGGGGAGCAAACAGG
RNAcentral lists this ribosomal RNA (253 nucleotides) under uncultured bacterium. RNAcentral describes it as "partial 16S ribosomal RNA". It matches the Rfam family "Bacterial small subunit ribosomal RNA", at positions 524 to 776 of the family's 1533-position model. The record is from RNAcentral.